Molecule: long non-coding RNA, 752 nt
Filed under: Mustela putorius furo (domestic ferret)
Lineage: Eukaryota; Metazoa; Chordata; Mammalia; Carnivora; Mustelidae
Description: lncRNA (ENSMPUG00000025659.1)
Source: RNAcentral
GAGGGGCUGUUUUAUAAUUCAUCAGGUCUCGCUAGUGAGUUCCCUUGGAGUCUUAGUUAUAAAGGCAAGUGUGAACCGGACGGCAGACAGGAGAACCUGGCACCAAGGAGACGGAGAAGCUGCCUGUGGUGCCUCCUGCCUCCUCCCUGCUUUGUUCCAAUAAUUUUGUGCUCGGCUCUACGAUGUGGACACGAAGAGAGUUAUGGGCAACCACGGCCAGACAGGACCGCAAUUGAGAAGCAGCCUUUGGACACAUGGACCUGGUUUCCAAUAUGGGAUUUGUUCUUUAGUUUUUUCCUGCGUCGCCUGGAACACGUGUCUACUUCUGUAAACUGGGUGAUGCUAACACACACACCAUAGGGUUGUUGGGGAAAGAAGUAGGAUGAAUCUCCAUACAAGGGAUUCAGUACAGACCUGGCAAAUAGUAAGCCCUCAGUUCUGGAAAGACUGAAAUAAACAUCCCAGAGAUGGUGAAACUAGGUGCAUAGAAGGUAGAGAGCUCAGAAGCUAUGAGGAUUUCAGGGCUAUCCAAGGGGGAAGAUAUUUUUCAAAGUCCUCUGUUGUAUUUGUUCAGCAAUGUUCUCAAGCUGUAGAGCAAAUGGUGAAUAAGAAGGUGGGUCACCUGAGCAAAGGCAAAUUUUGCUAAGCUAAAGGAUCUGUUGUUUCAAACAAGAAAAUAGAUUGCAAAUCAUUUAGCUUAGCAAAAAUGAAAGUCAAAUGGUGUCCGUUACAAUUGCAAAACAUACUUUCGC